GAAAAAAAUGACAAAUGUUAAUGGAUAACUUAGUCUACUAGACAACAUUGUCUUUGUUUGUAAAACCACUAACAAGACUAAGAUAUCCAGGGAAUGGACAAAAGUGGUUAAACAUACUCUAGGCCUCAAAACUAGACACAUAAACCUGGCAAUCAACGAUUACAGAUGAGCUCUUUACAUCACAGUACAACAAAUAACUAACAAUAAUGAUAAAACAGCAACAAAUUAAGGCAGCAAACAGCAAAACAAUAAUCAUAUAACAUUAACUGCAUAAUAUAUACAAGCUGCAAUGCAUGCUGGGAACUCCCAAAACUUUCACAUUUUAUCAGUGUGAAAUUCUUUAUUCGGACAACUGUGUUUGACUAGUUUGGGGUACAUUUGUCAGUCUGACAAGGGUUUUUGUGUAGUUUCAAGAAGUAAAAUACUUGAAAAAGUCACAAGCGAGAUGAAAGCAGUGCAAGCAAUUAACUGAAACAAAAACAAGGCAAACAUGUCGGUCACAUGUUGACCAUUUACAAUGACUAGCUAGAAUGCAGUUUCAAGAAAACAAUGUGUUAAAACACCUUUCGCUUUGCUUCGACGUCUUUGAGAUAAACGCUUCACUCUCAUUUCAGGCUUGAUUUUUUUAUCCGACGUGUCAGCUUUGAGGAGGCCUGGAGACUGGAUUCAGACGGAGCAGGUACCUCCGUGGCGGCGCAAUUAUCACACGGUGGGACUCCGUUGCUUUUUUCAACGGGUUUCUUUGUAGCCGAUUGCGAAUCGAUGCACGGCCUGUCUUUUUGAGCUUUUCCGGUGCAAAAGGACAGUGCGUCUUCAUGGUGAGUUUCUGGCGGGAUUUCGAUAACGGGUCGGAGCAUCGGAGCGGUUUUGGACACGUUCCCUCAGCGGGGAUCCAAUCAGGCUGCCACGGGACGCAGGCUGUCCGCUGGGGGCGUCCACACGGAGUCUUUUAGAGACGAGAUUAUUGAGCUCCUCACUACAGGUUUAGAUCAAUCCGCCUCUUUUAAGUGCACACGCAACAGAGCGGCGUUCAGAACUCACACACCUGCAGAGGAAGCGCUCUUUCAGUGCUCAGACUUAAUGGAGCUCUCGCAUGUGUUGCAUCGAAGUAUCAAAGAGGAUUCCCUUCAAAUUCUAAAAAAUAAAAAUAGACACAAAGAGUUGAGAUACAGUAAGAGGAAGUGGGAGAAUUUGAUCAGGCAGUUGAUAAUGAGAUCACUCAGAGCAUUUUAUACUGUAAACCUGUGAAGAGUUUGAGACAUUGUUGAGAUCUCUUCUGAAAUUCUAGAGAAGUUACUGAGUAAACUUCUGAUAAUGAUAAGCCUCAAAAGUCUCCCUUUCUUACCAUUUUUGUAGGUAAAAACAAAGAAAACAAGUAUAUUAGCACUUCUGGUUCCAUCAUCCUUAAGUCAAUGGGUCAUAAUGACCAAUCUGUAUAAAAAUCAUAAACUUUUGUUGGUCACAGAGCUUAUUUUCUACAGUAAUCCAAAAGCCAAUGGAAAAAUCCUGUUGUGUUUUUUGUUGAGGGAAACAUCCAGGUUAGCCUACAAAAAAAUCCACAGCCCUUAUCUGAAAACUGUCUUUGUUUUUCAGUCUGUUUUGAGAAAUACAGGCAUCGGGAGUCUUUUACCUUGAAUAUGUCCAAUCUAUCCCACUCAAAUAGACACCGCGGCUACCUGAUAUCAGUGUUAUUUAUUGGCUGUGGAGGAGAGUGACAGAUGAGCGAAGCUGGAGACAUGAAGAGAAGCAGAUAAGCAGCUCAUGAUGGAGAGACUAAAGCCCUGACUCGAGCAGAGAGUUCAACAGGAAGAGCUUGAGUAACCCUGACCGCUCACAAUCGACACACCUGUGAGAGAACUAACCACAACCCAACCAGCAGUUACACAGGACACGCUUACAUAACCUGUGUGUUUCCAUGCAUGUCUGCAUGUCACUAAUAAAAAAGAAUGAAAAAGCAGCACCAUGAUAUUCUGUGAAGUGCCAUGUUAUAUUGAAAGUACUUGAAUAAGUGAUGCAUAAGAUCAAUAAAUAGUGUAAGAAAUCUACUGCAUAGUUAUUAUCACUCACUGAGAAAAUCUUUGAAAAUCUUUCAGAUGACACACAGUAACUCCCAAAUAUUACAAAGUUCAUGUUCACAAAGAGGUGAUGUGUGGAAGCUUAUUUUCAGCACAGGAUAAAAAUAAUAAUAAUUGCAACUGAGUUGUAUCUCACAAUUCUGGAUUUUUUCUCGCAAUUCUGUGAAAAAAAAAAAAAAGAAGUCAGAAUUAUGAGAUAAAAGUUCGUAAGAAAAUAGCAGAACUGCAAGAUGCAAAGUCAGAAUUAUAAGAUAUAAACUCGCAAUUACAAUCUUAAAACAUUUAAUUGCAAGACACAAAUUUGCAAUUGUGAGAAGAGAAGUCAGAUUUGUUAGAUUUAAAGAAAAAUCACAAUUACCGGUUUAUUAUGUGCUGGGAAAAUAACUGAAUUGCAAUGUAAAGAUAGAAUUCUGAGCAAAAAUAUAGUAAAAAUUGCAACACUAAAACUCAUAAUUAAGUACUUUUAAUUUGCAAUUGCAAGAUACAAACUCAAAUGUGACGGGAAAAAAUAUUGUGAGAUUAAAAAGUUGCAUUGCCCUUUUUAUUUAUUUUGUUUAUUAAAACAAAAACACACAAUUGUGAGAUGUAAACUCUGAAUUCUGAGAAAAAAAGUCAGAAAUGCAAGAUGUAAACUCGCAAUUACCCUUUUUAUUUUUAUUCUUUACCGGAAGAUACAAACUCACAAAGUCACAAUUACCUUUUUUCACAUUUUUAUUUGGUGGCAGAAAUAAUCU
Cyprinus carpio carpio is the source of this 2809-nucleotide long non-coding RNA. Lineage: Eukaryota; Metazoa; Chordata; Actinopteri; Cypriniformes; Cyprinidae. The record is from Ensembl.